GGCUGUUGAUGAUGAUCAAGAAUAUAUAUACUUUAUGGGCUUGGAAAUGUCUGCUUCUAUGCGUAACACAUUUCACGUCAAAAUUAUAAUACCCCAAAUUUGAGCAACAAAAUUCAAGCAACAGGACAUAUUUUUUUAAAUUCGUCCUGUGUAUUAUUGAUGCUGAAUAUGAAAAAAGGUCGCGAAUUCGCUCUCCUUUUCAGCAGCCGACGUAGCAACUACGUGACCGCGCUCAAAAGAUCAUGGACUUUUGACAUGGAAGAUAUUGAUAUGCAGGGCUUUUGGCUUGGACUCUUUCGCUAAAUGAAGGACUUUCAAGGCAGGACAUGUUUGACUGGGAUGAUGAAUCAAAUAUUUCCGGAAUUUCGACCAAAUUGUUGCCUACAAUAAAUCGAACAAUAAUUCUUUAAAUGAAAAAAUUAAACCUAAGUGUCCGAGCUGUAAGCAACAAGUCGAAGAGGCAAUACGUAAUGUUUUUAUUUACACUUAAAAAAAUGUAAAACCAACAUCUAGUAUUGGCAAACAUCCAAUAAAUUAUGGAUUAAAUAAAGAUAAAAUGAAAAA
Non-coding RNA from Drosophila virilis, 564 nucleotides. The record is from RefSeq and is a predicted model, not a curated record. Lineage: Eukaryota; Metazoa; Arthropoda; Insecta; Diptera; Drosophilidae.